This 526-nucleotide ribosomal RNA is filed under the name uncultured bacterium. RNAcentral describes it as "bacterial SSU rRNA". It matches the Rfam family "Bacterial small subunit ribosomal RNA", at positions 984 to 1509 of the family's 1533-position model. The record is from RNAcentral.
ACAUCCAGCGAACUUGGCAGAGAUUGCCUUGGUGGCCUUCGGGAACGCUGAGACAGGUGCUGCAUGGCUGUCGUCAGCUCGUGUUGUGAAAGUGUUGGGUUAAGCCCGNAACGAGCGCAACCCUUAUCCUUGUUGCCAGCGAUUCGGUCGGGAACUCAAAGGAGACUGCCGGUGAUAAACCGGAGGAAGGUGGGGAUGACGUCAAGUCAUCAUGGCCCUUACGAGUAGGGCUACACACGUGCUACAAUGGCGCAUACAAAGAGAAGCGACCUCGCGAGAGCAAGCGGACCUCAUAAAGUGCGUCGUAGUCCGGAUCGGAGUCUGCAACUCGACUCCGUGAAGUCGGAAUCGCUAGUAAUCGUGGAUCAGAAUGCCACGGUGAAUACGUUCCCGGGCCUUGUACACACCGCCCGUCACACCAUGGGAGUGGGUUGCAAAAGAAGUAGGUAGCUUAACCCUCGGGAGGGCGCUUACCACUUUGUGAUUCAUGACUGGGGUGAAGUCGUAACAAGGUAGGCGUAGCGAG